Molecule: ribosomal RNA, 268 nt
Filed under: uncultured bacterium
Lineage: Bacteria
Description: partial 16S ribosomal RNA
Rfam family: Bacterial small subunit ribosomal RNA
Source: RNAcentral
GUCCUAGCCCGUAAACGAUGGACACUAGGUGUUGGUGGUAGUCAACCCCGCCCAGUGCCGAAGCUAACGCAUUAAGUGUCCCGCCUGGGGAGUACGGCCGCAAUGCUAAAACUCAAAGGAAUUGACGGGGGCCCGCACAAGCAGCGGAGCGUGGGGUUUAAUUCGACGCAACGCGAAGAACCUUACCAGGACUUGACAUGACCAGGACAGCGGCGGAAACGUCGUCUCCCCGCAAGGGGCCUGGCCACAGGUGUUGCAUGGCUGUCGU